CGCCGCCCGACGCAACCCAGGCCCGGUCUCCCCGCCGCAGCCAAGCAGCGCCCUCGGCCGGCGCCCGCCAUCCCCGGCCCGGCCGCCCGGCCGCAGAACCUCUGUCCAUGACCAAUGGAUGACCUCAGGACAAGAAUGCAAUAACUUGGCCUGAUGUUGUGAAGUCACGGUCCAUCCAGGGAUGGGCAAGAGGAUGACCAGAACCAUCUCGAGAGGGGCUGGAAAGCUGCCUCACGUAUGUGGUCCUGUGCUGUGUCUACAUGUUCCUCACUCACCUCUACAACGCUCAUGGCACGAGGGAGGAAAUGGGGUGCAGAGGCUAAGGAACGUGCCCAAAGCCCUACAGCUGGUGUAUUAGUAAUCUACUGCUGUGUAACCAAUUGCCCCAAAAUUUAAAUGUGUA
This 403-nucleotide long non-coding RNA is filed under the name Homo sapiens (human). RNAcentral's name for it is "non-protein coding lnc-KCTD5-2:1". Lineage: Eukaryota; Metazoa; Chordata; Mammalia; Primates; Hominidae. The record is from RNAcentral.